UUGUCCACUCUUUUGAGAGGAGACAGUUAUGAAACGUGAGUAGAAGGGUCGAGUGUAAAAACCUUGACGUGAAGCAAUUGGAGGGCAAGUUUUGGUGCCAGCAGCCGCGGUAAUUCCAACUCCAAGAGUGUCUAUGGUGGAUGCUGCAGUUAAAGGGUCCGUAGUCGUAGAUGCAAUUAAAAGGUGGUGUUAAAAGCCAUUGAGUUUGUUGAGAGUAGCGGAACGGAUAGGGAGCAUGGUAUAGGUGGGCAAAGAAUGAAAUCUCAAGACCCCACCUGGACCAACGGAGGCGAAAGCGAUGCUCUUAGACGUAUCUGGGGAUCAAGGACGAAGGCUAGAGUAUCGAAAGUGAUUAGACACCGCUGUAGUUCUAGCAGUAAACUAUGCCGACAAUGCUGGGUGUUGCGAGAGCGAUGCUUGGUGUGGGAGAAAUCUUAGUUUUCGGGCUCUGGGGAUUAGUACGC
This 464-nucleotide ribosomal RNA is filed under the name Ecytonucleospora hepatopenaei. RNAcentral's name for it is "SSU rRNA". It matches the Rfam family "Microsporidia small subunit ribosomal RNA", at positions 300 to 762 of the family's 1311-position model. The record is from RNAcentral. Lineage: Eukaryota; Fungi; Microsporidia; Enterocytozoonidae.